AGGAAAAGGUAAAACCAGUGAGAGUAGUGGCCAUAAUACUAUCCUUCCCCCGGCUCCCCGACCUACAAAAGAUAAUUAAGUUGAAAGUAGUCGCCAACCUAGACGUCUUACUUCGCCUCCCGUAAUGCUUGAUAGUGAUCACCCUUGUUUUUAAUUUACCGAUAGUCAAUUUUUACAUGAUAUUGCAGUAGGUGAUAGAUUAGAUGAUGAAAUUAUGAAUGCUCUUUAUCCUAAUGAACCUAUCUUAGAGGAAAAUGAUGAUGAUAAUGAUGAUGUAACCCAAGCACCAAAUUUAGAUGAUACACCUACUAGUCAUGUUCAUAACUCAAGUAAUGCACCGGCACACCCACCUGUAGAAACUCCAACUUUUAGUAGAUACACCUGUAGAAACUCCAACUUUUAGUAGACAACCUACUAAACGUGCAGAAACAUCAUUAGUUUGGCAUUUUCUGGGCAAUAUUAUCCAAGAUUGGACUAAUAUUAAAAUUCUUUUAAAUUUUUUAGAAGAUUUUUAAGUUGCUACAAAUGUAUUUUCUAGGCAAUAUUAUCCUACUAUUUCAAACUGUUUAGUUUAUAUUGCCGCACUAGCUGAUUUGUUUGUUGAAUUUAGCGAGGGCGAAGAUAUUUAU
This 629-nucleotide long non-coding RNA is filed under the name Nicotiana benthamiana. RNAcentral describes it as "long non-coding RNA (NBEN_LNC014572)". Lineage: Eukaryota; Viridiplantae; Streptophyta; Magnoliopsida; Solanales; Solanaceae. The record is from RNAcentral.